AGGCUUACUCUUAAGCUUAGGCUUGCAUUUAGGCUUAGGCUUAGGCUUAGGCUUAGGCUUAAGCUUGGGCUUAGGUUUAGGAUUAGGCUUAGGCUUAUGCUAAUGUUAGGCUUAUGCUUAGGUUUGUGCUUAGGCUUAUUAUUAAGCUCGGGCUCAUGCGUGGGCUUGAGCUUAGCCUUAGGCUUGUGCUUAGUCUUAUGCUUAGGCUUAGGAUUAGGC
Molecule: non-coding RNA, 219 nt
Organism: Caenorhabditis elegans
Lineage: Eukaryota; Metazoa; Nematoda; Chromadorea; Rhabditida; Rhabditidae
Source: Ensembl